AUGAUGGUUGGUGGGGAUGUUAUGAUAUUAUGAUGAGUAUAAUGAUGGGGUUAAAUGAUUAAUUAUUAGUUGGUAAUUAGUCAUUAAUGAUUGUUGGAUCCUUGAGUUCUAAUGAACCUCUAAGAAAACAGGGAAGGUCAUGGCAGGGCAAUGAGGAAGAGGAUUGUGGUGAUUUUUUUUUUUUUUUUUUGACUCUAUUACAAUGCAGUAUCUGUCUAUUGAAGUACAAAGAGGAGUCAAUAUCGCCUCUCCGAGGCUCGAUCCCACAACCUCUCACAUAAGGGAUCAACUUGACGGUGAUGUUCUAAGCAUGUUAGAAGGACAAACACAACGCAUUAAAAUGUUAACGUUCUAAGCAUGUGAAAAUGUAGAAGUUGAAAGUGUUGAAAUAUGUCAAGUUGAUAGAAUGGAUGCUAAAAUCUUUGAAGAGUAUCAAAGAGUAUUAAAAUGGAGAAAUUAGUGAUUGGAUUCCUACCUUGCCAUGGUUUCUAGAGUUGGACCCGAGAUGGAGAAAGAAGAAGAAUUUGCUCUUGCUUGGAUUGGUAAUUCUUUGGUCUCUCAAGCCACACAGCUCUCUACCAUUAAUGCCACAUUUUUUACUAAAUUAAAAGGGGGGAAGAAAGCCAAAAGAGGGAAAGAAAAAAUUGCCUAUUGUUGAGGACACUUUUCACCCUUUGUCAAAUGAUAUUUUAGAAGAAUUGGAGGAGGAUCAAAUGGCAAGAGCACUCCAAAUUUCAAGAUUGGAAACACAUCUUGCUCCGGGAGAAAUCUCUAUGCCUAUAGUUCAUGUUGAAAGGGAAACUCACGGCACAAGUGACAAUUGUGAAGCUCACAAUUCGGGUAUGAAUGAAGGAGUUCAAGAUCACUUGAGCAAUGAGAGAAAUGUGGAACAAACAUAAGAUCAAGGUGAAAUAAAUCAAGUAAAUGAAGGAGCUCUAAUAGUUGCUACACUCGAGACUCAUUCGAACGAAAGGGAAACAAAUUUGGAGACUCUUUUACUUGAGAUGCUCAAGAAGGUUGAUGAAUUGCAAGGAAGUCUAAAUGCUCAAGUUGACAAUGCCUCAACCACUCAUUCUGAAAGAGAGGUCGCAGAGUAGAAGAUUCCUACCUUAAGUCCUAUAAAAACUUGCAAGAAAUGGUUGAAAGACAACAAGUAAUGGAGAAAAAAGUUGGCAACAUUCACUCUAAGAUGAAAAAGAAUUUAGAAGACUUUAUGCUGUAAUUAAUCAAGGUGAUUGGAGAGGAAAGAAGAAGUGGUGAAGCCUUUACAGUGAAACAAAACAAGAAUAUCCUAAAGGUUGUUCAUCAACAUGAAAAUCAAUUGAGGGAUGUCCAUAAUGAAGUUGGUUCAAUUCCAUAAAUAUCAAAGUGAGUUGCUUAAGGGGUUCGAAUGAUAUGAUGGGAUUCAUUCCUCCAUUUAUGGCUUACGUAGCAUGAUUAUUGAGCUCAUUGAUUAUGCCAAAAAGGGUAAAAAGAGACUCAGUCAUUUAUAAGGUUGAUACGGCGCCAACAAUCGUGGAUCUUGAAGCACUAAACGAUCAUGACAUUGAGGUUUAAACGCCUCCAACAAUCGCAGAUCUUGAAGCACUAAUCGAUCGUGACAUUGUAAGGUUUUACAAUAAAUUGAACUACUCAUUGUAUGCGAAUUUUAUUGAAUAAAAUAAAUGUUUAGGAA
Molecule: long non-coding RNA, 1675 nt
Organism: Ipomoea nil (Japanese morning glory)
Lineage: Eukaryota; Viridiplantae; Streptophyta; Magnoliopsida; Solanales; Convolvulaceae
Exons: 3
Source: RefSeq, a predicted model, not a curated record